This 599-nucleotide ribosomal RNA is filed under the name uncultured Actinomycetes bacterium. RNAcentral's name for it is "bacterial SSU rRNA". It matches the Rfam family "Bacterial small subunit ribosomal RNA", at positions 252 to 866 of the family's 1533-position model. Lineage: Bacteria; Bacillati; Actinomycetota; Actinomycetes. The record is from RNAcentral.
GUGAGGUAACGGCUCACCAAGGCUACGACGGGUAGCUGGUCUGAGAGGAUGUCCAGCCACACUGGGACUGAGACACGGCCCAGACUCCUACGGGAGGCAGCAGUGGGGAAUCUUGCACAAUGGGCGAAAGCCUGAUGCAGCGACGCCGCGUGCGGGAUGACGGCCUUCGGGUUGUAAACCGCUUUCAGCAGGGACGAUAGUGACGGUACCUGCAGAAGAAGCACCGGCCAACUACGUGCCAGCAGCCGCGGUAAUACGUAGGGUGCAAGCGUUGUCCGGAAUUAUUGGGCGUAAAGAGCUCGUAGGUGGUCUGUUGCGUCGGCUGUGAAACCCCGAGGCUCAACCUCGGGCCUGCAGCCGAUACGGGCAGACUAGAGUUCGGCAGGGGAGACUGGAAUUCCUGGUGUAGCGGUGAAAUGCGCAGAUAUCAGGAGGAACACCGGUGGCGAAGGCGGGUCUCUGGGCCGAUACUGACACUGAGGAGCGAAAGCGUGGGGAGCGAACAGGAUUAGAUACCCUGGUAGUCCACGCUGUAAACGUUGGGCGCUAGGUGUGGGGGACCUCUCCGGUUCUCUGUGCCGCAGCUAACGCAUUAAGCG